Molecule: ribosomal RNA, 410 nt
Filed under: uncultured bacterium
Lineage: Bacteria
Description: bacterial SSU rRNA
Rfam family: Bacterial small subunit ribosomal RNA
Source: RNAcentral
CGAUGUCUGAUUAGCUAGUUGGUGGGGUAAGGGGCCUACCAAGGCGACGAUCAGUAGUUGGUCUGAGAGGACGACCAGCCACACUGGGACUGAGACACGGCCCAGACUCCUACGGGAGGCAGCAGUGGGGAAUUUUGGACAAUGGGCGCAAGCCUGAUCCAGCAAUGCCGCGUGAGUGAAGAAGGCCUUCGGGUUGUAAAGCUCUUUCAGUCGAGAAGAAAAGGCUGCAGUGAAUAACUGUAGUUUAUGACGGUAUCGACAGAAGAAGCACCGGCUAACUACGUGCCAGCAGCCGCGGUAAUACGUAGGGUGCGAGCGUUAAUCGGAAUUACUGGGCGUAAAGGGUGCGCAGGCGGUUUUGUAAGUCAGAUGUGAAAUCCCCGGGCUUAACCUGGGAAUUGCGUUUGAAA